Molecule: transfer RNA, 94 nt
Filed under: Novosphingobium sp.
Lineage: Bacteria; Pseudomonadati; Pseudomonadota; Alphaproteobacteria; Sphingomonadales; Sphingomonadaceae
Description: tRNA-Ser
Rfam family: tRNA
About the family: Transfer RNA (tRNA) molecules are approximately 80 nucleotides in length. Their secondary structure includes four short double-helical elements and three loops (D, anti-codon, and T loops).
Source: RNAcentral
GGAGACGUGGGUGAGUGGCUGGAAACCAACGGUUUGCUAAACCGUCGUACUGGUAAAUCCGGUACGGAGGGUUCGAAUCCCUCCGUCUCCGCCA